Molecule: ribosomal RNA, 454 nt
Filed under: uncultured bacterium
Lineage: Bacteria
Description: partial 16S ribosomal RNA
Rfam family: Bacterial small subunit ribosomal RNA
Source: RNAcentral
GAUGAACGCUGACAGAAUGCUUAACACAUGCAAGUCAACUUGAACUUCGGUUUGGGUGGCGGACGGGUGAGUAACGCGUAAAGAACUUGCCUCACAGCUAGGGACAACAUUUGGAAACGAAUGCUAAUACCUGAUAUUAUGAUUAUAUGGCAUCGUAUAAUUAUGAAAGCUAUAUGCGCUGUGAGAGAGCUUUGCGUCCCAUUAGCUAGUUGGAGAGGUAACAGCUCACCAAGGCGAUGAUGGGUAGCCGGCCUGAGAGGGUGAUCAGCCACAAGGGGACUGAGACACGGCCCUUACUCCUACGGGAGGAAGCAGUGGGGAAUAUUGGACAAUGGACCGAGAGUCUGAUCCAGCAAUUCUGUGUGCACGAUGAAGUUUUUCGGAAUGUAAAGUGCUUUCAGUUGGGAAGAAAAAAAUGACGGUACCAACAGAAGAAGUGACGGCUAAAUACGUG